UGUCGUCAGCUCGUGUUGUGAAAUGUUGGGUUAAGUCCCGCAACGAGCGCAACCCUUAUCCUUUGUUGCCAGCGGUCCGGCCGGGAACUCAAAGGAGACUGCCAGUGAUAAACUGGAGGAAGGUGGGGAUGACGUCAAGUCAUCAUGGCCCUUACGACCAGGGCUACACACGUGCUACAAUGGCGCAUACAAAGAGAAGCGACCUCGCGAGAGCAAGCGGACCUCAUAAAGUGCGUCGUAGUCCGGAUUGGAGUCUGCAACUCGACUCCAUGAAGUCGGAAUCGCUAGUAAUCGUGGAUCAGAAUGCCACGGUGAAUACGUUCCCGGGCCUUGUACACACCGCCCGUCACACCAUGGGAGUGAGUUGCAAAAGAAGUAGGUAGCUUAACCUUCGGGAG
Molecule: ribosomal RNA, 398 nt
Filed under: Escherichia coli
Lineage: Bacteria; Pseudomonadati; Pseudomonadota; Gammaproteobacteria; Enterobacterales; Enterobacteriaceae
Description: bacterial SSU rRNA
Rfam family: Bacterial small subunit ribosomal RNA
Source: RNAcentral